GCGGAGGUUGCGGUGAGCCGAGAUUGCGCCAUUGCACUCCAGCCUGGGCAACAACAGCGAAACUCCGCCUUAAAACAAAACAAAACAAAAACAGAGAAGUGUAGGCUGUCAUGAGCAUUCUUGGUAUCAGAGGGGUGAGGUCUCUCCUCUCGAGAAUCUGUCCUGACCUCACAGGGAGAGCUGGAGUCACAAAGACAGUCACAAGCACCCCCUACCCAAUGCUGCAGUCACCCAGCCACCAUGGGGACCCACAUAGACCUCCACAGGCACGCCUCACCCAAACAAUAACACUAUAUAUGGUCACACAAUCAUUGUCCCACAUCUACCUUGAGGAUAAGUUACACUAGCAUAUUUACAGACCCCUCAAACAUAGCACCAUUCAGAACCAGAGUGCUACAGAUAGUCACAAUACCACACGCACUACUGAGCCACACAAAGUUACAGUUCCCCCCUCCCCAGGACCCCUAUUGAGCACUACACACAAUCACACAUUCAAAAUAACACAAUGACCACUAGGACACACAUAUCACCCCGGCACGAUUACACGCACUUUCCAACCGCAGACACAGUGCUACAUAAAGUUACACAGCCACACACAAUCACAGUCCCAACACGGGACACAGUCAUACCUACACAUACAGCCUUACAUUGUUACAAUUACACAACUACAACGAGGAUAUACAAUCACACCCGCGCACACAGAGAGGCACAGUCACAUAAGGUCACACUCACACACGGAAGCCCACGCCUCGCGCCCGCCUCCCCACCACCCCCUCUAUCAGCCCGACCAACUCAUACAUGCCCGACACACUCAUACAUGCCCAACACUCCAGACCAGCCUGGUCAGUCCCUUCAAACUCCCAUGCACGUACCUGCGGGCCCCAGCCGAGCCUGCAAGACCCAGGCCGCUCACCGCGCACUUCCCCUACCCUUGAGGCGGA
This 941-nucleotide long non-coding RNA is filed under the name Homo sapiens (human). RNAcentral describes it as "HSALNT0259362". The record is from RNAcentral. Lineage: Eukaryota; Metazoa; Chordata; Mammalia; Primates; Hominidae.